Molecule: ribosomal RNA, 294 nt
Filed under: uncultured bacterium
Lineage: Bacteria
Description: partial 16S ribosomal RNA
Rfam family: Bacterial small subunit ribosomal RNA
Source: RNAcentral
AGGAUGAACGCUAGCGGCAGGCCUAAUACAUGCAAGCCGAACGGCAAGAUUGAUAGCAAUAUUGAUCCUAGAGUGGCGUAAGGGUGCGUAACACGUAUGCAAUCUACCCUCAACAGGAGGAUAGCUCCCCGAAAGGGGAAUUAAGACUCCAUAAGAUCAUUUGGUGGCAUCAUUGAAUGAUUAAACUUCCAGGGGUUGAGGAUGAGCAUGCGCCUGAUUAGUUAGUUGGCGGGGUAAGGGCCCACCAAGACGAUGAUCAGUAGGGGAACUGAGAGGUUGAUCCCCCACACUGGC